AGUGAACGCUGGCGGUAGGCCUAACACAUGCAAGUCGAACGGCAGCACAGUAAGAGCUUGCUCUUACGGGUGGCGAGUGGCGGACGGGUGAGGAAUACAUCGAAAUCUACUUUUUCGUGGGGGAUAACGUAGGGAAACUUACGCUAAUACCGCAUACGACCUACGGGUGAAAGCAGGGGAUCUUCGGACCUUGCGCGAUUGAAUGAGCCGAUGUCGGAUUAGCUAGUUGGCGGGGUAAAGGCCCACCAAGGCGACGAUCCGUAGCUGGUCUGAGAGGAUGAUCAGCCACACUGGAACUGAGACACGGUCCAGACCCCUACGGGAGGCAGCAGUGGGGAAUAUUGGACAAUGGGCGCAAGCCUGAUCCAGCCAUACCGCGUGGGUGAAGAAGGCCUUCGGGUUGUAAAGCCCUUUUGUUGGGAAAGAAAGGCAGCAGGUUAAUACCCCGCUGUUCUGACGGUACCCAAAGAAUAAGCACCGGCUAACUUCGUG
RNAcentral lists this ribosomal RNA (492 nucleotides) under uncultured bacterium. RNAcentral's name for it is "partial 16S ribosomal RNA". It matches the Rfam family "Bacterial small subunit ribosomal RNA", at positions 29 to 507 of the family's 1533-position model. The record is from RNAcentral.